CCUACGGGAGGCAGCAGUAGGGAAUCUUCCACAAUGGGCGAAAGCCUGAUGGAGCAACGCCGCGUGGGUGAAGAAGGUCUUCGGAUCGUAAAACCCUGUUGUUAGAGAAGAAAGUGCGUGAGAGUAACUGUUCACGUUUCGACGGUAUCUAACCAGAAAGCCACGGCUAACUACGUGCCAGCAGCCGCGGUAAUACGUAGGUGGCAAGCGUUAUCCGGAUUUAUUUGGCGUAAAGGGAACGCAGGCGGUCUUUUAAGUCUGAUGUGAAAGCCUUCGGCUUAACCGGAGUAGUGCAUUGGAAACUGGGAGACUUGAGUGCAGAAGAGGAGAGUGGAACUCCAUGUGUAGCGGUGAAAUGCGUAGAUAUAUGGAAGAACACCAGUGGCGAAAGCGGCUCUCUGGCCUGUAACUGACGCUGAGGUUCGAAAGCGUGGGUAGCAAACAGGAUUAGAUACCCCAGUAGUC
Molecule: ribosomal RNA, 465 nt
Filed under: uncultured bacterium
Lineage: Bacteria
Description: partial 16S ribosomal RNA
Rfam family: Bacterial small subunit ribosomal RNA
Source: RNAcentral